CCUACGGGUGGCAGCAGUGAGGAAUAUUGGUCAAUGGGCGCUAGCCUGAACCAGCCAAGUCGCGUGAAGGAUGAAUGCCCUCUGGGUUGUAAACUUCUUUUAUAUGGGAAUAAAGUGCAGUAUGUAUACUGCUUUGCAUGUACCUUAUGAAUAAGGAUCGGCUAACUCCGUGCCAGCAGCCGCGGUAAUAAGGAGGAUCCGAGCGUUAUCCGGAUUUAUGGGGUUUAAAGGGAGCGUAGGCGGGUUGUUAAGUCAGUUGUGAAAGUUUGCGGCUCAACCGUAGAAUUGCAGUUGAUACUGGCAGCAUUGAGUACAGUAGAGGUAGGCGGAAUGCGUGGUGUAGCGGUGAAAUGCAUAGAUAUCACGAAGAACUCCGAUUGCGAAGGCAGCUUGCUGGACUGUAACUGACGCUGAGGAGCGAAAGCGUGGGGAGCAAACAGGAUUAGAUACCCCUGUAGUC
RNAcentral lists this ribosomal RNA (460 nucleotides) under uncultured bacterium. RNAcentral describes it as "partial 16S ribosomal RNA". It matches the Rfam family "Bacterial small subunit ribosomal RNA", at positions 338 to 795 of the family's 1533-position model. The record is from RNAcentral.